CAUUAAGUAAAGGCGAUUAAAAAAUGUCUUAAAGCUAUAGAAACUAGUACCGCAAGGGAAAAGU
This 64-nucleotide transfer RNA is filed under the name Microhyla mukhlesuri. RNAcentral describes it as "tRNA-Val". The record is from RNAcentral. Lineage: Eukaryota; Metazoa; Chordata; Amphibia; Anura; Microhylidae.